ACAAAGCAUCUUCUUGCUUCUCAAAGCUUUGAUGGUGUAGCAAAAAUCUGUAUGAGUCUUUGAAUUUGUAUCUGCUAACAAGGAUACACUACUUAGGCUUAUAAGAUCCGGUUUC
RNAcentral lists this small RNA (115 nucleotides) under Arabidopsis thaliana (thale cress). RNAcentral's name for it is "ATSL034300". Lineage: Eukaryota; Viridiplantae; Streptophyta; Magnoliopsida; Brassicales; Brassicaceae. The record is from RNAcentral.